GACGAACGCUGGCGGCGUGCUUAACACAUGCAAGUCGAACGGUAAGGCCCCUUCGGGGGUACACGAGUGGCGAACGGGUGAGUAACACUUGAGCAACCUGCCCUUGACUCUGGAAUAACAGUUGGAAACAGCUGCUAAUACUGGAUAUUCAUCGUCUCCUUCCUGGGGGGUGGUGGAAAGCUCCGGCGGUCAGGGAUGGGCUCGCGGCCUAUCAGCUUGUUGGUGAGGUAAUGGCUCACAAAGGCUUCGACGGGUAGCCGGCCUGAGAGGGCGACCGGCCACACUGGGACUGAGAUACGGCCCAGACUCCUACGGGAGGCAGCAGUGGGAAAUAUUGCACAAUGGGCGCAAGCCUGAUGCAGCAACGCCGCGUGCGGGAUGACGGCCUUCGGGUUGUAAACCGCUUUCAGUAGGGACGAAGGGUGACUGACGGUACCUACAGAAGAAGGACCGGCUAACUACGUG
RNAcentral lists this ribosomal RNA (465 nucleotides) under uncultured bacterium. RNAcentral describes it as "partial 16S ribosomal RNA". It matches the Rfam family "Bacterial small subunit ribosomal RNA", at positions 28 to 507 of the family's 1533-position model. The record is from RNAcentral.